GGGUGUAAAUUGGGUGUAAAGAAAACUGAAAUGCUCUAAUUCCUUUCAUACUAGGGAUCGUUCACCGCCUCCUAAGCGGUAGGUCGAGGGUUCGAAUCCCGCCAGUCCCG
RNAcentral lists this transfer RNA (110 nucleotides) under Phormidium sp. FACHB-592. RNAcentral's name for it is "tRNA-Ser". The stretch from base 54 to 110 matches the Rfam family "tRNA". From Rfam's summary of the family: Transfer RNA (tRNA) molecules are approximately 80 nucleotides in length. Their secondary structure includes four short double-helical elements and three loops (D, anti-codon, and T loops). The record is from RNAcentral. RNAcentral also lists the same sequence under 1 other name. Lineage: Bacteria; Bacillati; Cyanobacteriota; Cyanophyceae; Oscillatoriales; Oscillatoriaceae.